UUUGUUUUAAUUGGUUUUUAAUUGGUGUUGCAUAUCAUUAAAGGAUUAUUAUAUUGUUAUGUUAAAUAGAAGUGGAGAGUUAAGGAAAAUUUGUUUUCAUUGUUGUAUAAUGAAUAUUAGUUUUUUUUGUUUUGAUAUGUCGAUCUCUAUUAUAUCUGUGUUUUUUGUUCUUUUAGAAAUUUUUUUGUUUAUUUUUUAUUUUUGGGAAUGUAUGAUUUGAAGUUUUAUUUUUUGUGGUGUUAUGACUUGUCCUUUUGUUUUUUAUGUGUUGUUGUAUUUUUGAUAUUAAUUUUUUAAUAUUUUGAGAAUCUUUGUUUUAGUAAGUGUUUUUUAUUUUUUUGUUUGUUUGAAUUUGGUUUUGAUAACUUGAGGUGCAAUCAAAUGUUUUUUAAAGACUUAUGUUUUUAUAUAGAAUUGUCUUCUGCUCUAUGAUUUUUUAAAUGGCAGCCUUAGCGUGAGGGCAUAAAAGUAGCAAAAUGAUUUGUGUUUUUAUUGGAUUCGAGUAUGAAUGGAGGUAUUGGUUGUUUUUAUUCUUCUUUUUUUCUGAAUUAUUUUUAUAUUUAAUAAUUAAUAUAAGUAAUUUUGCAAAGAUAAGUCUUCGGAAAUUCUGUUGAUUCGUUAUUUUUGUUAAAGUGGUGAGUUGGGUUUUUUAGGGCAAAUGAGUAUGUAGUUUUGUUUUUACUAUUUUUAUUUUAAUGAGUUACUCCGGAGUUAACAGAAAUUUACGUUUUUUCUAGAUGUUAUAGAAAAAAGGAUUUUACAUCGAUGUUGUAUUUUAGUUGGGCGAAGAAGUAGUAAAUUUGUUUUUUGAGACUGUUCUUCUUUUAAUAAACUAAACGUGAUAUUAGUUUAAUUCAUCGUGAGAUAGAAUUGAUUAUCUUGAGGAUUACUUUUUUUUUGUGUGAUUAGUACGAAAGGAACGUUAUUAGGAUUUUAAAUUUUUUUUAU
This 948-nucleotide ribosomal RNA is filed under the name Ascaridia galli. RNAcentral describes it as "large subunit ribosomal RNA". The record is from RNAcentral. Lineage: Eukaryota; Metazoa; Nematoda; Chromadorea; Rhabditida; Ascaridiidae.